This 999-nucleotide ribosomal RNA is filed under the name Salmonella enterica. RNAcentral describes it as "partial 23S ribosomal RNA". It matches the Rfam family "Bacterial large subunit ribosomal RNA", at positions 161 to 1201 of the family's 2925-position model. The record is from RNAcentral. RNAcentral also lists the same sequence under 1 other name. Lineage: Bacteria; Pseudomonadati; Pseudomonadota; Gammaproteobacteria; Enterobacterales; Enterobacteriaceae.
AAUCCAUAGGUUAAUGAGGCGAACCGGGGGAACUGAAACAUCUAAGUACCCCGAGGAAAAGAAAUCAACCGAGAUUCCCCCAGUAGCGGCGAGCGAACGGGGAGGAGCCCAGAGCCUGAAUCAGCAUGUGUGUUAGUGGAAGCGUCUGGAAAGGCGCGCGAUACAGGGUGACAGCCCCGUACACAAAAGCGCAUGUGCUGUGAGCUCGAUGAGUAGGGCGGGACACGUGGUAUCCUGUCUGAAUAUGGGGGGACCAUCCUCCAAGGCUAAAUACUCCUGACUGACCGAUAGUGAACCAGUACCGUGAGGGAAAGGCGAAAAGAACCCCGGCGAGGGGAGUGAAAAAGAACCUGAAACCGUGUACGUACAAGCAGUGGGAGCACCCUUUGGGUGUGACUGCGUACCUUUUGUAUAAUGGGUCAGCGACUUAUAUUCUGUAGCAAGGUUAACCGAAUAGGGGAGCCGGAGGGAAACCGAGUCUUAACCGGGCGUUAAGUUGCAGGGUAUAGACCCGAAACCCGGUGAUCUAGCCAUGGGCAGGUUGAAGGUUGGGUAACACUAACUGGAGGACCGAACCGACUAAUGUUGAAAAAUUAGCGGAUGACCUGUGGCUGGGGGUGAAAGGCCAAUCAAACCGGGAGAUAGCUGGUUCUCCCCGAAAGCUAUUUAGGUAGCGCCUCGUGAAUUCAUCUCCGGGGGUAGAGCACUGUUUCGGCUAGGGGGCCAUCCCGGCUUACCAACCCGAUGCAAACUGCGAAUACCGGAGAAUGUUAUCACGGGAGACACACGGCGGGUGCUAACGUCCGUCGUGAAGAGGGAAACAACCCAGACCGCCAGCUAAGGUCCCAAAGUCAUGGUUAAGUGGGAAACGAUGUGGGAAGGCCCAGACAGCCAGGAUGUUGGCUUAGAAGCAGCCAUCAUUUAAAGAAAGCGUAAUAGCUCACUGGUCGAGUCGGCCUGCGCGGAAGAUGUAACGGGGCUAAACCAUGCACCGAAGCU